This 5597-nucleotide long non-coding RNA is filed under the name Solanum tuberosum (potato). RNAcentral's name for it is "long non-coding RNA (STUB_LNC003392)". Lineage: Eukaryota; Viridiplantae; Streptophyta; Magnoliopsida; Solanales; Solanaceae. The record is from RNAcentral.
AGCAAAGGGAGUUAUUGCCAGUAAAUUGCAAUCCUUUUUGGGUUCUCUCUCUGGAUCUCCUCAGGAAGUUAUUACUGCUUUGUAUGAGGCACUCUUGGAUGGUGUUGAGAAAGGAUUUGCCAAGGAGGUUAUUAAGAAGAAAAGCUACCUUGCUGCCAUUGCUCAAGACGAGGAGUCUCAACUACGAUUGCUUCAAGCUAUAGAAGAGUUCUCUGGGAAAUCCAACUCAGUUGCACUGAAGGAAGUGGCUCUGGUUUUGAAAGCUUUGUACGAUGAUGAUCUGUUGGAAGAGGAAUAUAUAGUACAGUGGUACAACAAGGGUGUUACUGCGAACAAGGACUCCAAAAUUUGGAAGAAUGUCAAACCCUUUGUCGAAUGGCUACAGAGUGCUGAGUCCGAAUCCGAAGAGGAAUGAGAUCAGAUUGCUGUCUGGUGUGCUUUAGUUUGCUUUCCCUGAAUGACCACCAUAUUUUAAAUUCAUGUUUUUUUUUUUUUUUAAUUUUUUUUUUUUUAUGUUUGUGUUGUUUGUUUGCCUUUGGUGCAGACUCGUAUUGGGUCCAUAUUGCAAGACUCUUUUGCCUCUUGCCUUUUAAGUGUCUUUUACGUGAGUAGAACUUUUAAUUAUCAUGUUUUGGUGUUGAGUCAUACACUCCAACCUUGUCUUGCUGUUACAUUUUAUAAGUCAUGUUAUUAUAUUAUAUGCUCCGUUGUACUGAACAAAAAUCCUUGAGUUUAAAAAUGUUAAGCUUAAUAUCAAUCAACAAGUGCAUAUACAAAGUAGCCAUUCAUUGAAUGGACAGCCACCAAAUGUGUUGGAUUGACAACAUUAUACAGUCAUCUGUUUUAUAAUAUUUCUUAUAUUAUAUUAGUUCAUGCAUAAUUUGUGUCCACUUGACAAAAUGGUGAUGUGCCACUUUGGUGACCAGACAAUCCAUAUAGUUUAAAGUGGUAUAGUUCUUCAACUAUGUAUUUGCAAAAUCAGUACACAUUCAGUCUUUAGCUAACGUUUUCUACAAAAUAUCAAGUCAUCAAUGGAAUGCAUUAAUUUUCAUCAUAUUCGGACAUCGGUAUAUGUGCAUAAAAACAAUGAUUUGGGCAACCAAAAUUUAAACUGAAAAUAAUGACGACAUAACUCAUGAAACAACAACAAAAAUUGUUAUAAUGUACCAUAUGCAAAUUGUAAGAUUAGAAAUUAAAAAUCAAAGAAAAAAGACUUUGCAAUUAUACAAUUUGUUUAAAAUUUCAAAGUUCUAUUUAAUAAGAACUAACUAAAAUUUCAACUUCAAAUUAAUCUAUUUCAAAUCAUUUCCAAACAAGACAUGGGAACCAUUUUUAGCUUUUUCUAAAAGUAUAAUACAUAAAUGUAUUAUUUAAUUUGACUUUAACUGACAAUUAUAUUUUUAACUUUUACUCUGCACAAAUAAAUCGUACAUAACAGAACACGUGCAUUUAUUUGUUUAAUUCUAUUGUGCACAUUCUAAAUUAGAGGGUAUGGAUAUGGGCCGAAUCCAAGUUAAAGGGUGUUUAUGUCUUUUGAUUUUUCUAAACUCUUCUCUCUCAAUUUUUCUUUCAAACCCUGUGUAUAAAAUUAUAAAUGAAGGAAACUUCUAGACCGGUUCUCCUCUAUCACCACCACUUCCCUAUCCUUUAUUAUUAAACCCUAUUCUACGUUUUUCUUCAAUUGCUCUCCUCAUCGUAUUGCAGAUUGCUCUGCUUCGUUCGAUCAAUAAGGUAUUUUUGAUUACUUUUUGUUCUUAUUUUCAUCUUAUUCUAUGCUUUAUCAAUUGACUAGCGGAAUUUUGAAGUUGUUAAAUCAAUGUUCAUUGCGUAUUUAAUUACGUUAUACAACUGUUCAUCGUCGUCCUGAUCUAUUUUGUUUUAGUGUUUUUUUGUUCCGAUCUGUUAUUUGAAUUGAUUGAUAAUAUAUUUUACUGAUCUGAUGGCCCCCAAGGCCUAGCUCGAGUGGCAAAAGGUGGAGGAUUUGUGACUUAGGUCGCAGGUUCAAGCCCCACACCAUGCAAAGUGAAGCCCGUUAUUUAAGUGGAGAAGGGUAGAGGGGCGGGCCCAUUAUCCACCGAGUUUAGAAGGCUGUGAUUGGUCCAAAGGGCGGGUCACAGACGGAUUUCUCGGUUAUCAAAAAAAAAUAAAAAUAAAAUAUUUUACUGAUCUGAUGAGAUUAUUAGGCGGAUGUUUUUAGAGAAUUUUCUAGCUUUAGAUGAGUCCUAAUUUGGCUUUAAAGACUUAUUUUUUGAAUCGGAGAGGAAAUAGGAGAAAUAGAGGGGAAUGGAGAUAGGUAGUUCAUAUAUCAGAUUCCAAAUAGUUUGGCAUUGAUUGAACGGAUUUUGUAUGUUUUCAUCUGUAUAAAAUGGACACUGAUUUCUUUAGUCGGAGUAGAUUGUGAAAGAAUAGUUUAUUUUGAUAGUUGUUGCCUGUAUUUGUGGUGUUCUCUUUUUGUCAAAAGUGAGCUGAAUGUCUCUACAACUUGAAAUGAGUCGAGUUAGUGCGAAAUGGAUAUAGAUAGUUCAUAUGUCAAAUUCCAAAUAAUUGCAUUGAUUGAAUGGAUUUUGUACGUUUCAAUCUGAAUAAAACGGACAUUGAUUUCUUUAGUCGGAGUGGAUUGUAAAAUGAUAGCUUAUUUGGUAGUUGUUGCCUAUAUUUGUGCGGUUCCCUUUUAGUCAGAAGUGAGAUGAACAGUGUUAUUAAAAGCGAGCGUGAGAAGCGAAGCUGGUAUCGCUUUUUUUUUCAGUACAGCGAGCCUAUAGUGAAAAAGCGAGCUUCUUUGGUCCCAGAAUUGAGAAGCGAGACUUCAGUAAAAAGCGAGAAAAAAGCUCAUUUUUCUGCUUAAGCAACAGUAACUAGUUCUUUUUUAAAAAAAAAUAAAAAAUUGUUAAAACAUUUUGCGACUUCUUUCUGAACAUUUCCCACUGUUUCACUUCUUCUUCUUUGCUCUGUUUCUCUACUGCGAGCUUGCGCUAAGGUUUUCUUUUUCAACUUGUAAUCUUCAAUUUUCUCUGUUUUGCAAUAUAAUCUUCUCUGCGAUUGUGCUACAGCGUUGUCUUUUUUUUUUUCCUUACUUUUUUUGCAAUUUUUUUACUCUAUUUUGUAUUUAUUUCUCUGUUUUGUGCUGUUUAUGUCCAUACUCUGCAAUUUUUCCUCUUUUUUGUAAUGGUUUUUGCUAUUCUGUCUCUGUUUUCACCUUUCUGUGUUUUUGUAGUACAUUCUAUUUACUUUUUAAUUUAAGAAAUGAAAGAUUUUCUUAAUAUGUUAUUUCUAUUGAGUUCUUGAUUAUUUAUCAAUGCACAUUUGAUAUUUUUUAUUUUUGUACUAAAUAGCGCUUUAGUUUUUAUUGUUUAUUUGCUUCACACUUCUCGCUUUGGUGAAAAGCGAGCGCUUGUUGAUUUUUACGCCCCUCACUUUUCAAAACACUGGAGCAGAAUGGCUCUACAGUUUGAUCCCUAAUUUUUUAUGCAUUUAGAUUGUAAUGGAGUGGAAACAUUUCAAGUGGGAACACAAAUUAUAACAAGAAUUGUGUCGGCUAUUCAUUCUGUUGAAGAAGUAUUAAGACUUCCGCAUUGGGGAUAAACAUAGUCUAGUUUUUGAAAUUAAGCAAUCUUGGGGUUCUCUUUCAUGUUUUUGUAGGUUAUGCAGUUUGAAAGCUUAUAUACACACUGAUAAAUGACCCAAGGUAAUGUUGAAGUUCCUUGGCAGAUUAGUUUAUCAUUAUGUACCCUUAUUGUUCCUAUUCAUAGAAAAGUUUUAUAGAACAUGUUGCUUUUCAAGCUGCUAUUGCCAAAAGGAACUCAUUUUUCAAUCUUAAGGGUAGAACAGUUUGUGACUGUCAUUAUUAAAAUCAUUUACCUCAUUUAUUAAUAUAAACUUAGUGUAGUAAUUUUUAGUUUCCUUGCCUGUAGUUGAUUCGUGGUUCGUUUGUUUGAAGGUUGCAGGUGGUGUGCCUUCUGUAGAGUUCCGAAGUUGUAGUAGUCUAAGUGAAACUUCUUUUAUGUCCGAACAAGCCAUCUUCUAUUUGGGAUCCAUUGGAUUGCUUGGAGAAUAUUGUCCUACGUCAAAGAAAAAGAACCGUCAUUUCUCAGGUCGGGUUGACCGUAUGCAUCUCGAACCAUUAAAGGAAGAGCAUUACGACUAUUCUGGUUGCUGGAAGGCACAAUCAGCACUUUGCAAUUGUUCUGCUGAAGAAUUCUCUGAACAUACCUAACACUUCAUCCAGAAAUUUCUUACUGAAUCAAAGAUGGCUUUGCAAAACAUAGGUGCCAGCAACAGUGAUGAUGCCUUCUACAGGUAUAAGAUGCCCAGGAUGCUUACCAAGAUUGAGGGCCGUGGGAAUGGUAUCAAGACAAAUGUGGUGAACAUGGUUGAUAUUGCCAAAGCAUUAGCAAGGCCCCCAUCCUAUACAACAAAAUAUUUUGGAAAUGAGCUUGGGGCUCAGUCGAAAUUUGAUGAAAAAUCUGGAACUGCCCUUGUCAAUGGAGCUCAUGAAACCCCUAAACUUGCUGGUCUUCUCGAGAACUUUAUUAAGAAAUAUGUUCAGUGCUAUGGUUGCGGAAAUCCUGAAACAGAGGUCAUAAUAACCAAAACUCAGAUGAUCCAACUAAAAUGUGCUGCAUGUGGUUUCCUUUCUGAUGUGGACAUGAGGGACAAGCUGACAACUUUUAUACUUAAGAACCCGCCUGAGGCUAAGAAGGGCUCCAAGGACAAGAAAGCUAUGAGAAGAGCUGAGAAGGAGCGGCUGAAGGAAGGCGAGGCUGCUGAUGAAGAGCUGAAGAAGCUGAAGAAAGAAACAAAGAAAAAGGUUUCCUCCAAAGAUGCUAGCGCAAAACCUAAUUCUAAAAAGAAACAUGGUGGCUCUGAUGAGGAUCAUGCUUCACCACCUAGAAGCCAUGUUAAUGUGAAAGAAGAAGAGGAAGAAGAUGAUGAUGAUGACGACGUCCAGUGGCAGACAGAUACAUCGCUGGAAGCUGCUCAGCAGCGUAUACAAGAACAGCUAAAUGCUGCGACUGCCGAAAUGGUUAUGCUGUCCACAGUUGAGUCUGAGAAGAAGUCCAAAGCAGCUACUCAAACCCCAAGUCCUAAAGCAGCUGCUUCUGUGACACCUGAGAAUCCCAAGACCGAAAAUGGAGAGACAAACCAUGAGAGGCUUGUUAGGGAAGUAAAAACAAAUCUAAAGAAGGGAGUUGCCUCCAGCAAAAUACAAUCCUUUUUGGGUUCACUCUCUGGAUCUCCUCAGGAAGUUAUUAUUGCUUUUUAUGAAGCACUCUUGGAUGGCGUUGAGAAAGGAUUUGCCAAGGAGGUUAUUAAGAAGAAAAGCUACCUUGCUGCUGUUGCUCAAGACGAAGAGUCUCAACUCCGAUUACUUCGAGCUAUAGAAGAGUUUUCUGGGAAAUCCAACUCAGUUGCACUGAAGGAAGUGACUCUGGUUUUGAAAGCUUUGUAUGAUGAUGAUCUGUUGGAAGAGGAAUAUAUAGUACAGUGGUACAACAAGGGUGUUGCUGCGAACAAGGACUCCAAAAUUUGGAGGAAUGUCAAACCCUUUGUCGAAUGGCUGCAGAGUGCUGAGUCCGAGUCCGAAGAGGAAUGAGAUC